RNAcentral lists this ribosomal RNA (231 nucleotides) under uncultured bacterium. Its description in RNAcentral is "partial 16S ribosomal RNA". It matches the Rfam family "Bacterial small subunit ribosomal RNA", at positions 118 to 350 of the family's 1533-position model. The record is from RNAcentral.
UGAGCAACCUGCCCUUAGCUUUGGGAUAACCCUCGGAAACGGGGGCUAAUACCGAAUGUUCACUGCCGGGCGCAUGUUUGGUGGUGGAAAGUUUUCGGCUGGGGAUGGGCUCGCGGCCUAUCAGCUUGUUGGUGAGGUCACGGCUCACCAAGGCUACGACGGGUAGCCGGCCUGAGAGGGCGAUCGGCCACACUGGGACUGAGACACGGCCCAGACUCCGUACGGGAGGCA